The sequence is a ribosomal RNA, 1036 nucleotides long. It matches the Rfam family "Bacterial large subunit ribosomal RNA", at positions 1 to 1048 of the family's 2925-position model.
ACGAUUAAGUAGUGAAGGGCGCACGGCGGAUGCCUAGGUACCAAGAGCCGAUGAAGGACGGAACAAACACCGAUAUGCUUCGGGGAGCUGUAAGUAAGCGAUGAACCGGAGAUUUCCGAAUGGGGAAACCCAAUACCGCGAGGUAUUACCACAGCGUGAAUACAUAGCGCUGUUGGAGGACACCUGGAGAACUGAAACAUCUUAGUAUCCAGAGGAAGAGAAAGAAAAAUCGAUUCCCUAAGUAGCGGCGAGCGAACGGGGAAGAGCCCAAACCAGCUUCGGCUGGGGUUGUAGGACAUUCACAACGGAUCUAAAGACUUAGACGAAUGGUCUGGGAAGGCCAACCGCAGGGGGUAAGAGUCCCGUAGUUAAAAGGUUGAUAGAUUUAGAAUGUAUCCUGAGUACGGCGGAACACGAGGAAUUCCGUCGGAAUCCGGGAGGACCAUCUCCCAAGGCUAAAUACUCCUUGGUAACCGAUAGUGAACCAGUACCGUGAGGGAAAGGUGAAAAGCACCCCGGGAGGGGAGUGAAAUAGAACCUGAAACCGUGCGCUUACAAGUAGUCAGAGCCCGUUAAUGGGUGAUGGCGUGCCUUUUGUAGAAUGAACCGGCGAGUUACGAUUAUAUGCAAGGUUAAGCAGUGAAUGUGGAGCCGCAGCGAAAGCGAGUCUGAAUAGGGCGACUGAGUAUAUGAUUGUAGACGCGAAACCAGGUGAUCUACCCAUGACCAGGCUGAAGUUCAGGUAACACUGAAUGGAGGGCCGAACCGACUUACGUUGAAAAGUGACCGGAUGAGUUGUGGGUAGGGGUGAAAUUCCAAUCGAACCUGGAGAUAGCUCGUUCUCUCCGAAAUAUAUUUAGGUAUAGCCUCAUAUAAGCAUCGUGGAGGUAGAGCACUGUUUGGAUGAGGGGCCCAUCCCGGGUUACCGAGUUCAGACAAACUCCGAAUGCCACAGAUGUAAUGUAUGGGAGUCAGACAGUGGGUGAUAAGGUCCAUUGUCGAGAGGGAAACAGCCCAGACCACCAGUUAAGGUCCC